CAUGGCUCAGAUUGAACGCUGGCGGCAGGCCUAACACAUGCAAGUCGAACGGUAACAGGAAGCAGCUUGCUGCUUUGCUGACGAGUGGCGGACGGGUGAGUAAUGUCUGGGAAACUGCCUGAUGGAGGGGGAUAACUACUGGAAACGGUGGCUAAUACCGCAUAACGUCGCAAGACCAAAGAGGGGGACCUUCGGGCCUCUUGCCAUCAGAUGUGCCCAGAUGGGAUUAGCUUGUUGGUGAGGUAACGGCUCACCAAGGCGACGAUCCCUAGCUGGUCUGAGAGGAUGACCAGCCACACUGGAACUGAGACACGGUCCAGACUCCUACGGGAGGCAGCAGUGGGGAAUAUUGCACAAUGGGCGCAAGCCUGAUGCAGCCAUGCCGCGUGUAUGAAGAAGGCCUUCGGGUUGUAAAGUACUUUCAGCGGGGAGGAAGGUGUUGUGGUUAAUAACCGCAGCAAUUGACGUUACCCGCAGAAGAAGCACCGGCUAACUCCGUGCCAGCAGCCGCGGUAAUACGGAGGGUGCAAGCGUUAAUCGGAAUUACUGGGCGUAAAGCGCACGCAGGCGGUCUGUCAAGUCGGAUGUGAAAUCCCCGGGCUCAACCUGGGAACUGCAUUCGAAACUGGCAGGCUUGAGUCUUGUAGAGGGGGGUAGAAUUCCAGGUGUAGCGGUGAAAUGCGUAGAGAUCUGGAGGAAUACCGGUGGCGAAGGCGGCCCCCUGGACAAAGACUGACGCUCAGGUGCGAAAGCGUGGGGAGCAAACAGGAUUAGAUACCCUGGUAGUCCACGCCGUAAACGAUGUCUACUUGGAGGUUGUGCCCUUGAGGCGUGGCUUCCGGAGCUAACGCGUUAAGUAGACCGCCUGGGGAGUACGGCCGCAAGGUUAAAACUCAAAUGAAUUGACGGGGGCCCGCACAAGCGGUGGAGCAUGUGGUUUAAUUCGAUGCAACGCGAAGAACCUUACCUGGUCUUGACAUCCACAGAAGAAUCCAGAGAUGGAUUUGUGCCUUCGGGAACUGUGAGACAGGUGCUGCAUGGCUGUCGUCAGCUCGUGUUGUGAAAUGUUGGGUUAAGUCCCGCAACGAGCGCAACCCUUAUCCUUUGUUGCCAGCGGUUAGGCCGGGAACUCAAAGGAGACUGCCAGUGAUAAACUGGAGGAAGGUGGGGAUGACGUCAAGUCAUCAUGGCCCUUACGACCAGGGCUACACACGUGCUACAAUGGCGCAUACAAAGAGAAGCGACCUCGCGAGAGCAAGCGGACCUCAUAAAGUGCGUCGUAGUCCGGAUUGGAGUCUGCAACUCGACUCCAUGAAGUCGGAAUCGCUAGUAAUCGUGGAUCAGAAUGCCACGGUGAAUACGUUCCCGGGCCUUGUACACACCGCCCGUCACACCAUGGGAGUGGGUUGCAAAAGAAGUAGGUAGCUUAACCUUCGGGAGGGCGCUUACCACUUUGUGAUUCAUGACUGGGGUGAAGUCGUAACAAGGUAACCGUAGGGGAACCUGCGGUUGGA
Molecule: ribosomal RNA, 1514 nt
Filed under: Salmonella enterica subsp. enterica serovar Enteritidis
Lineage: Bacteria; Pseudomonadati; Pseudomonadota; Gammaproteobacteria; Enterobacterales; Enterobacteriaceae
Description: bacterial SSU rRNA
Rfam family: Bacterial small subunit ribosomal RNA
Source: RNAcentral